UACGGAAGGUCCGGGCGUUAUCCGGAUUUAUUGGGUUUAAAGGGAGCGUAGGCCGCCGAUUAAGCGUGUUGUGAAAUGCCGCAGCUCAACUGUGGCACUGCAGCGCGAACUGGUUGGCUUGAGUGCGCGGAAGGCAGGCGGAAUUUGUGGUGUAGCGGUGAAAUGCUUAGAUAUCACGAAGAACCCCGAUUGCGAAGGCAGCACACUAAGCCGUAACUGACGCUGAAGCUCGAAAGUGCGGGUAUCGAACAGG
This 253-nucleotide ribosomal RNA is filed under the name uncultured bacterium. RNAcentral's name for it is "partial 16S ribosomal RNA". It matches the Rfam family "Bacterial small subunit ribosomal RNA", at positions 524 to 776 of the family's 1533-position model. The record is from RNAcentral.